Long non-coding RNA from Photinus pyralis (common eastern firefly), 434 nucleotides. RefSeq lists it as uncharacterized. NCBI's taxonomy places the organism in Eukaryota, Metazoa, Arthropoda, Insecta, Coleoptera, Lampyridae. The record is from RefSeq and is a predicted model, not a curated record. The transcript is spliced from 3 exons.
GAAACGUUCCCACGGACAUAAUAAUUUACGUUGUGAUUCGAGACUUAUUUAAGUCAGUGGGGCUGGGUAGCGAGAAUAACGCGAUUUUGGUUACCUACCUAUACUACGUGCAAUUAUUCCGGUACAAACCUAAUUAGGCAAUAACUUAAUCUACAUUUCAAUGGUUGUCUAAAAUUCUUUCAAGAGCCGUUUGUCACCUUAAGGCUCUUACCCCUAAGUACUGGAAAUUGGAAAAAAUAUAUAGUAGCCGCCCCUGACGUCACGUGGGACGCAAAUUUAUUACCUGCACAAGUAACUGCGGAAUACCAAGCGCUGUUCCUGAUGAUAAGAUUUUAAUUCUAUGGUGAUAAGCCGCCAUCCCACCGUCCACCUGUAUGUACGUGCUGUCCAUGUGGAUAAUGGUUCACACAAUGCUCUGAGGUUUGAGAUAACAA